AGGACGAACGCUGGCGCGGCGCCUAAGUACGAUGCAAGUCGAACGGGCCGGCUUCGGCCGGCCAGUGGCGGACGGGUGAGUAACACGUGGGUGACCUGCCCUCGAGUGGGGAAUAACGCUGCGAAAGCAGCGCUAAUACCGCAUACGCUCCGUGGUCCAAUCCGCGGAGGAAAGCUUGAUGUGCUCGAGGAGGGGCCUGCGGCAGAUUAGCUAGUCGGUGGGGUAAUGGCUUACCGAGGCAACGAUCUGUAGCUGGUCUGAGAGGAUGAUCAGCCACACUGGGACUGAGACACGGCCCAGACUCCACGGGAGGCAGCAGUAAGGAUAUUCCGCAAUGGACGCAAGUCUGACGGAGCGACGCCGCGUGCGCGACGAAGCCCUUCGGGGUGUAAAGCGCUUUUCUCGGGGAUGAGAGACGGACAGUACCCGAGGAAGAAGCCCCGGCUAACUACGUGCCAGCAGCCGCGGUAA
This 471-nucleotide ribosomal RNA is filed under the name uncultured bacterium. RNAcentral describes it as "SSU rRNA". It matches the Rfam family "Bacterial small subunit ribosomal RNA", at positions 26 to 523 of the family's 1533-position model. The record is from RNAcentral.